GAAGCGGGGGAUAACACCUGGAAACAGAUGCUAAUACCGCAUAACAACUUGGACCGCAUGGUCCGAGCUUGAAAGAUGGCUUCGGCUAUCACUUUUGGAUGGUCCCGCGGCGUAUUAGCUAGAUGGUGGGGUAACGGCUCACCAUGGCAAUGAUACGUAGCCGACCUGAGAGGGUAAUCGGCCACAUUGGGACUGAGACACGGCCCAAACUCCUACGGGAGGCAGCAGUAGGGAAUCUUCCACAAUGGACGAAAGUCUGAUGGAGCAACGCCGCGUGAGUGAAGAAGGGUUUCGGCUCGUAAAACUCUGUUGUUAAAGAAGAACAUAUCUGAGAGUAACUGUUCAGGUAUUGACGGUAUUUAACCAGAAAGCCACGGCUAACUACGUGCCAGCAGCCGCGGUAAUACGUAGGUGGC
RNAcentral lists this ribosomal RNA (416 nucleotides) under Lactiplantibacillus plantarum. RNAcentral describes it as "bacterial SSU rRNA". It matches the Rfam family "Bacterial small subunit ribosomal RNA", at positions 133 to 535 of the family's 1533-position model. Lineage: Bacteria; Bacillati; Bacillota; Bacilli; Lactobacillales; Lactobacillaceae. The record is from RNAcentral.